This 1328-nucleotide ribosomal RNA is filed under the name Microbacterium sp. RNAcentral describes it as "bacterial SSU rRNA". It matches the Rfam family "Bacterial small subunit ribosomal RNA", at positions 62 to 1396 of the family's 1533-position model. Lineage: Bacteria; Bacillati; Actinomycetota; Actinomycetes; Micrococcales; Microbacteriaceae. The record is from RNAcentral.
UCGUACGGUGAACACGGAGCUUGCUCUGUGGGAUCAGUGGCGAACGGGUGAGUAACACGUGAGCAACCUGCCCCUGACUCUGGGAUAAGCGCUGGAAACGGCGUCUAAUACUGGAUAUGUGACGUGACCGCAUGGUCUGCGUUUGGAAAGAUUUUUCGGUUGGGGAUGGGCUCGCGGCCUAUCAGCUUGUUGGUGAGGUAAUGGCUCACCAAGGCGUCGACGGGUAGCCGGCCUGAGAGGGUGACCGGCCACACUGGGACUGAGACACGGCCCAGACUCCUACGGGAGGCAGCAGUGGGGAAUAUUGCACAAUGGGCGGAAGCCUGAUGCAGCAACGCCGCGUGAGGGAUGACGGCCUUCGGGUUGUAAACCUCUUUUAGCAGGGAAGAAGCGAAAGUGACGGUACCUGCAGAAAAAGCGCCGGCUAACUACGUGCCAGCAGCCGCGGUAAUACGUAGGGCGCAAGCGUUAUCCGGAAUUAUUGGGCGUAAAUGAGCUCGUAGGCGGUUUGUCGCGUCUAGCUGUGAAAUCCCGAGGCUCAACCUCGGGCCUGCAGUGGGUACGGGCAGACUAGAGUGCGGUAGGGGAGAUUGGAAUUCCUGGUGUAGCGGUGGAAUGCGCAGAUAUCAGGAGGAACACCGAUGGCGAAGGCAGAUCUCUGGGCCGUAACUGACGCUGAGGAGCGAAAGGGUGGGGAGCAAACAGGCUUAGAUACCCUGGUAGUCCACCCCGUAAACGUUGGGAACUAGUUGUGGGGUCCAUUCCACGGAUUCCGUGACGCAGCUAACGCAUUAAGUUCCCCGCCUGGGGAGUACGGCCGCAAGGCUAAAACUCAAAGGAAUUGACGGGGACCCGCACAAGCGGCGGAGCAUGCGGAUUAAUUCGAUGCAACGCGAAGAACCUUACCAAGGCUUGACAUAUACGAGAACGGGCCAGAAAUGGUCAACUCUUUGGACACUCGUAAACAGGUGGUGCAUGGUUGUCGUCAGCUCGUGUCGUGAGAUGUUGGGUUAAGUCCCGCAACGAGCGCAACCCUCGUUCUAUGUUGCCAGCACGUAAUGGUGGGAACUCAUGGGAUACUGCCGCGGUCAACUCGGAGGAAGGUGGGGAUGACGUCAAAUCAUCAUGCCCCUUAUGUCUUGUGCUUCACGCAUGCUACAAUGGCCGGUACAAAGGGCUGCAAUACCGUGAGGUGGAGCGAAUCCCAAAAAGCCGGUCCCAAUUCGGAUUGAGGUCUGCAACUCGACCUCAUGAAGUCGGAGUCGCUAGUAAUCGCAGAUCAGCAACGCUGCAGUGAAUACGUUCCCGGGUCUUGUACACACCGCCCG